Molecule: ribosomal RNA, 253 nt
Filed under: uncultured bacterium
Lineage: Bacteria
Description: partial 16S ribosomal RNA
Rfam family: Bacterial small subunit ribosomal RNA
Source: RNAcentral
UACGGAGGGAGCUAGCGUUAUUCGGAAUUACUGGGCGUAAAGUGCACGUAGGCGGCUUUGUAAGUAAGAGGUGAAAGCCUGGAGCUCAACUCCAGAACUGCCUUUUAGACUGCAUCGCUUGAAUCCAGGAGAGGUGAGUGGAAUUCCGAGUGUAGAGGUGAAAUUCGUAGAUAUUCGCAAGAACACCAGUGGCGAAGGCGGCUCACUGGCCCGAUACUGACGCUGAGGCACGAAAGCGUGGGGAGCAAACAGG